Gymnogyps californianus (California condor) is the source of this 559-nucleotide long non-coding RNA. RefSeq lists it as uncharacterized. The transcript has 4 exons. Lineage: Eukaryota; Metazoa; Chordata; Aves; Accipitriformes; Cathartidae. The record is from RefSeq and is a predicted model, not a curated record.
GCUGUUGUUGGGACGGCAGGUUAAGCCUUCAAAAGAAAAGCCUUGCUCGUGUGGUGAGCCUGCCUGGUGGCCAGCUCUGGUGUUCUCUCCUCAGCCAGCUAGUGCUAAAAUUACCUUCUCUGUCAUCGAGGGGAGAAAGGCAAUGUUGGAAAGAGUGGAUUUUGUCCUAGGUUUCCCAAAUGCAAUGGAUCACCAUCAGGAAAUCUGUAGCAAAUCAAUGCUGAAGCUUGUCAAGCACUAAGUGAAUACUGCCACGCAGAGUAAAGACAGUGGGUUACUUUCAGUUAUUCCUACUUUGUGUUGCCACCUGCCACAGAAUCCAGCUGCAGGAACAGCUGAACAGGUAAACUAUCUUGUGAAGAAUUUACUGGAUUGAGAGAAGCGAGGGUCCUAGCACCCAAAAGCACCACCUGUGGGAGGAAAUUACCUUAUGAUGGGGGUGGGAUGGAGCUUGGCGACCAUCAUCUGGCAACUCUGGAGACAGUGUUUUACAGCAAGAGGGCCAUCUGUAGAAUCUGCACUCAAAAAUCUCAACUCUGUGAAAUGCUUCUUUUAAAUA